AUUUUCUGGCGUGUUGUUCUGAGACUCAAGGACUGCUGAAAUUUUUAAGGAGAUAUGGGACUUACCUGGAACAAGAAAUCCACCCAGAAUGGCAUUGGAAUUCAAUUGUUUGAGGGCAUAUUGAAGAGAUACAGCAUGGGAACACGCAGAUGUAAUGAUGCCUGCUUAGCAGUGAGGGUUUGGUCAGGGGGGAUAUGGGAGCAGGGAAAUCUGGAUGAGCCUGGACACUGCUCCUCUCAGCAAAUCCCUCUCUGCCCCCAGGUACAGGUGGCAGCAUGACCUCCCAGGACAUCUGCAGCUCCCCAGGUACUCGUGAGUCCUUCCCUUCCAGAGCCAGGGCACUUGGAAGCCCAACCACUGUGAGCUCUGCCUUAAGGCAGCCCUUCACUGCUGUGUCUCCUGCAGGGGAUCUUCCAGCUCCUGCUCUCCAAAUGAACUCAACUUCUGCUCAGCCAGGUACCAGAGUUGUGCUCCAGUGUAUUCUCGCUGUGGUGUCACAUGUAAGACGAAUCAUCUUCUGCAAGGAUGGGAUGGAGGCGUACAGCCACAAAGCCCAGCAAAGGCAGCUGAGCUACACCCUGGUCCAGAACAUCACGUCAAGAAGUGCAGGAAGAUAUACAUGUGGGUACCAGGCGUUGAAUGAGAAGAAACAUAUGAGUUCUGCCCUCAGUGCUCUCCACAUCCUGGAUGUCCAUGGUGCAGCUGCUGGCGUGACCACCCAGGACAUCGGCAGCUCCCCAGGCAAUGUGGUGAGUUCCCCAGCAAGUCCACCACCCCCAGGAAGCAAGACACGAGCUCAGGGUCUGCUCAGCAUCUGGGAUUGUCCCAGCAAAGAGCUCCAGAAACUCACAGCAUGUUCAUGUCUCCCACAGGCAGCAGCCCCUCACACAAGGCCCAGCUCCCUUCCAGAGGUGAGACAUUGCUCAUCAGCCCUUCCCAGCACAGCCGUCCUCCAAGGCUUGCCUUGGCCACACUGUGUUCCUCCUCUCUCCCAGGGUCAGCCAUGCCCCUGGAGGUCUGGAUCCUGCACUCUGCUCUCAGCCUGCUCCUGCUGCUGUCUGCUCCCAUCAUCACCCUCCUCCUGGAGAGAUGCAGCCACGGUGCCAACGAGGCCAGGCAGCCUGGAGACGUCCCUGUCCCCAUGGAGCUCUUAUGCCCUCCUGGGCUCCAUGUUAUCCAGAGCCUGCUCCACAAGACCAGAGCGUGACCCCCUCAUAUUUGCCAGACUCCCACUGCCAUUGGUCUCAAUGCAGCUGAGGCAGCAUGCCCAAGGGAUGUGCUGCCACUGCUCUGCUUCCCUUGGCUCAGCGCCUGCUUUCUGCUAUUACUUUUGACUAUUACUUUAAACGGAGAUGGGAUAAGUUUUCGCCAAUCAUAACUAAGAUAUGCUUGACUAGAGUCACUCAAGCUCCACCUAAAAGAUAGAAAAUAAUAUAAAUUGGCCUAAGAGAGAGGGGAUGUUGGGGAAGAUACCGCUGUCAGAGGAGAUACCACCCCAAGGGAAUACACCAUCCUGAGGACCUCCUGACUCCUGGGAUCAGUUGAUGGGCUGAUCUUCUCUUCCACCCUCUGCCCCCAUUGGGAGGCCUUUGGGUGAGAUUUGAACACUUGGUUAUACUGGGUGUCUCCACAGAAACUUUGUAAUCUCUAUAGAGUCUUUGUACCUUUUAACGCAUUAAUUUCCAGGCUGCUCACCUGUGUCACCUACAUGUAUGUCACCUGUAUAUUUCAUGCAUGCUAGCUUGCUUUUGCAGACAGUAACUAUGGCUGGCAAUCCAAAGAACCUGUGUACCUGUUGCUGUAAUAAAUCGCACUUGAAUGCAUUGUUCCUACCCA
Molecule: long non-coding RNA, 1836 nt
Filed under: Anas platyrhynchos platyrhynchos (common mallard)
Lineage: Eukaryota; Metazoa; Chordata; Aves; Anseriformes; Anatidae
Description: lncRNA (ENSAPLG00000024812.1)
Source: RNAcentral